Molecule: unclassified non-coding RNA, 319 nt
Filed under: Hevea brasiliensis (rubber tree)
Lineage: Eukaryota; Viridiplantae; Streptophyta; Magnoliopsida; Malpighiales; Euphorbiaceae
Source: RNAcentral
UUUUUAUGGUUAAGUUGAAAUCAAUAUUGCGUUCAUUAUAAUUUUGGACAUUUGGAGCUAUAGAAAGGAUUCAACCUAAAAUGUGACACUUCUUUCCUUUAAGAUUCUGCAUGCAGAUUCUCGAACAAGUUCAGCAUGGGGAAACUAAACGAAAGCAAAGUCAUGAAGAACAAGGUUGAUUUGGACAACCAUGAUGAUGUUUGUUGGUGGUUGAUUCAUAAAGGAGUUAAAACUACUUUUUUGUCCAUAUCUUUGUUUGCUUUGCUGGUUCGAGUUGCAGUCUCCCUUCAUCCUUACUCGGGUGCCGGCAACCCUCCGA